AUACGGAGGGUCCGAGCGUUAUCCGGAAUCAUUGGGUUUAAAGGGUCCGUAGGCGGGAAUCUAAGUCAGUGGUGAAAUCUUGCAGCUCAACUGUAAAAUUGCCAUUGAUACUGGAUUUCUUGAAUUAGUGUGAAGUGGUUAGAAUGUGUAGUGUAGCGGUGAAAUGCAUAGAUAUUACACAGAAUACCAAUUGCGAAGGCAGAUCACUAACACUAUAUUGACGCUGGGGGACGAAAGCGUGGGGAGCGAACAGGAUUAGAAACCCGAGUAGUCC
Molecule: ribosomal RNA, 274 nt
Filed under: uncultured bacterium
Lineage: Bacteria
Description: partial 16S ribosomal RNA
Rfam family: Bacterial small subunit ribosomal RNA
Source: RNAcentral